ACAACGGCAGCCGGAACGAUCU
Molecule: microRNA, 22 nt
Filed under: Aedes aegypti (yellow fever mosquito)
Lineage: Eukaryota; Metazoa; Arthropoda; Insecta; Diptera; Culicidae
Description: aae-miR-11923
Source: miRBase by way of RNAcentral